Molecule: long non-coding RNA, 2177 nt
Organism: Monodelphis domestica (gray short-tailed opossum)
Lineage: Eukaryota; Metazoa; Chordata; Mammalia; Didelphimorphia; Didelphidae
Source: RefSeq, a predicted model, not a curated record
UUCUUCCAAAGCCUGUAUCCAAUUCGCUGGGAUUUCUGAUUUUUCCUUUGCUGUUCCCUCCCCCUCUGUUUUAUUCACUCUUUGCUCAUUACCUGUGCAGAAGCUGUCUAUUGUAAUUUCCUUCUUUUUCUGUUGUUUGCUCGAGUUUACCCCUUCUUUACUCCCUGUAUUUGGCUGUGCUCUUGCUCCUCUCAUUUUGUUUUGGUUUUGGGGCUGUCAGUCUCCCCUCUUGGAGCUUUGUCAGAUCUCUUGGUACAGUCUCUAGGGGAGGAAUGUUAGCUUCCCUGUCCUCUGGAGGCUUUUGCUUGGAUUGAAUUCAAGUGGGUUGGGCUGUAUGCGGUAUGAAACUGAGGCUCUGAAAACACCUGGAAGGCUGGGCCGCCCAGGCUCUCUCCAGUUCUCCCUAGCUGUUUCUCCACUAUCCACAAGUGCCUUUGCCCUCCUCCCUAAACUCUGAGGAGUUCUGAUUGAAUUGGCUGGAUUGAUCUGCUUAUGCCCCGAGGCAAAAGUGAGGCUGGAGCCCGAUGGAGGGACCCAGCCGAGGCCCCCUCUCUCCCUGGCUUCCUCCCUGCUGUCCAAGCUGGAUUCUCUGAGCACGGCGCCCCGCUGCUCACAAGGACCUGAACCUGCUCUUCACCCUCAACUGCUACCUGUAAAUACUCUUCAUACUACCUUGGAUCUGUGACCCAGAACUGGGAAGGGAGCAAAAGAGUUGGCAGCUGACAACCUUUCCAGCACUGUAUAGAGAAGGAAAAAAAUCAGUAUACUGAUACAUUGAAAAAGUCCAAAAAAUGUGCAGCAUAUAACACCUGUGAUCCUCCCACCUCCACUAAGGGUUACAGUGAUCAUGGCCAGACAUGAAGAGGAAAUGGAUCUCAUUUUUGGACAAGAUAUACACAAAAGAGCCAUUGCACAGGGCCAAAGAAAACCCAAAUCAGGAUGGAUUGAUGCACUUCUAGGCCAAUACAAAAGUCUUGAACCUAGUGUGAGGACUCGAGAAUUUUAGGUAAAGAAAGAUGAUACCUCUCUGAAUCCAGAAACUGAACUGUUGGAGAAGACACCAUGAAGAAGCCUCCAGACCACAAGCUGCACAAAAAUGAACUUUGGGUGUGGUUGAUUGAACAUUUAUUUGUAUGUAUACUCUUAUACCAAAGGGGACUGCCCCCUAACUGGCUUUUUGUCAAUGUGUCCAGCAGUUAUUGGGUUUUUUUUCUCUUAUCCUCAAAUUAUUGUAAUCUGUAAAAUUGAUUAUGUUUUUAUGAUCCUUUGGGGAAGUCCUUCUCCCCAGAGGAUUAAACGGAGGUAUGUAAAAAUAGACUCGAAUCCAGGACUUCAAUCCCCAGAAAUCCUUGCUCCACUUCCACAGAAUGCCCUCUAAUCUCACUGAAUUCUCACCUGGGCCAGGAGCAAGAUGGGGUAUUUAUACCUGGUUGUGAAGAGGCUCUGGCUCUUUUGGACUUCCAUUUUGGAGCAGACAUGUCUCUUUCAUGAUAUGAGGUUAUCUUGUCUGGGCCUCUCUGGCCUAGACAUGUGCUUUCUUAUUCUGUAUUUUCUUUAAUCCUUAACCUUUAAUAAACCUCAUAAAAAUAUAAUACUCCUUGCAGAGAGAAACAAAUUUCUUUCUAAGUCUCCCCUAAAUUAGUAACUGUUACAGUUUUUACACCAAUUGAUAAGAUCAUUCUUUACAUGCCUAAUGAAGCAGACUAAAUAACUCAGACCCAUAUAUAUAUAUAUAAUAACCCUUCAUACCUAAGUAAGUGGUCUGAAGGAGUUGGCCUCACUAAUAUCUUUUUCUCUAUUCCUAUGUGUAGCAUCCCAUGUAUAUUCUCAUGUUGAAAGUAUUAUUAAUGUAUUGAUAUUGUAACCUAAGUGCUCAUAUACCAGACACAUGGUCAUGUGACUUAUUGAUCAUUGUAUUUCCAUAUCUUUAUUCCAAAGGUCAAAAGAAUUCCUGGGCAGGACAUUAGCUGGCACAGGGUACUAGUUACCUCCUUGUUAGACCACAUUCCUUACCAAGUCACAUGUUUGAUUAACCUCCUCCUCUAUGAUUACGUGAUUGUCAAUUGAACCAAUGUUAAAUCCUAUGCCAUGUUACAUUCAUUAGUUACCUACAAUAAAAGAUUGGGACCAUGUGCAGCUCACUCUCUCUCAUGACCAUCACCUGAAGAGCUGCUGGA